Myiozetetes cayanensis is the source of this 384-nucleotide long non-coding RNA. RefSeq lists it as uncharacterized. The record is from RefSeq and is a predicted model, not a curated record. NCBI's taxonomy places the organism in Eukaryota, Metazoa, Chordata, Aves, Passeriformes, Tyrannidae. The transcript is spliced from 2 exons.
GAAGCUGUGUACUGGUUUUGAUGCUGGUGGUCACCCAUAGGGCUGUCCAUCCUAGAAUUUACAUACAUGAGGAAAUCUGUUUGAAGAUCUGAAAACUGAAAAUGUUACAUCACCUCUAAGACCAUCCCUACGUCACCCUUCUACAUUGUGAAAUACAUCUGAGAAGAGCAUGAAAAUUGGAAACUCCGGUAUAUAUUGAGAAUGUGUGACUGCAGCAUCAUCAAAACCUUGCUAAUGCACAGCACCUCACCCCCAGGAAUACCAUUUCCUUCUAGGAAACAUGAUCCGUAAUUCAGUCCUGCUACUUCUCCUCAGCCCUUGCUUUCUGAAAUCUACUGCUGUGAUUUUGAGCUCUGUCUGAAUAAAGAUUAAGAUCAUAUUUCA